UACAGAGGUGGCAAGCGUUGUUCGGAAUUACUGGGCGUAAAGGGCGCGUAGGCGGCUUGGUCAGUCCCGUGUGAAAUCCCUCGGCUCAACUGAGGAACUGCACGGGAAACUGCCUGGCUUGAGUUCGGGAGAGGGAAGCGGAAUUCCGGGUGUAGCGGUGAAAUGCGUAGAUAUCAGGAAGAACACCCGUGGCGAAGGCGGCUCUCUGGGACGGUACUGACGCUGAGACGCGAAAGCGUGGGGAGCGAACAGG
RNAcentral lists this ribosomal RNA (253 nucleotides) under uncultured bacterium. Its description in RNAcentral is "partial 16S ribosomal RNA". It matches the Rfam family "Bacterial small subunit ribosomal RNA", at positions 524 to 776 of the family's 1533-position model. The record is from RNAcentral.